Molecule: long non-coding RNA, 745 nt
Organism: Marmota flaviventris (yellow-bellied marmot)
Lineage: Eukaryota; Metazoa; Chordata; Mammalia; Rodentia; Sciuridae
Source: RefSeq, a predicted model, not a curated record
CCAGGCACAUCCACAGAUCCCUCCAGUAAGGCCUCAAACAAGUUACUUCCCCUCACCCUGAUAAAGAGAGUGAAGCCUCUGGCAGGCUGUCCUUGCCUGAUAAGAAGGAAAGGCAAGAAAAUCGGGGUGGAGAUGACCCCAGGGUAAAUGAUGUCACUGAGAAAUAAGGUGGUAGCUGAUAAGGAUUGAAAGGGUGAUCAAAAGCCCCAAAAUUUAGUAUAAAUGAUAGAGCUGAUGAACAGGAAUUCAGCCAGCUGAAACAAGGAUGCACAUAAGCUGGAGAGCCUGCUGAGGACCUGACAUCCCAUCACUUGGCAUCUUUCCUGAGACCCUGGGAGAUCCUCACCAUUCUCAAACUCUACUGCCUCCUCUGGACCUUGGUGAGAGCUGCAACUCCUCUCUACAACCUCCUCCUCAACUGGUCAUCUGCUCCACCAAGAAAAGCCUGCCUUGGUUCUAGACAUGAUCACCUUGGUCUGAGUUUCAGAUGCACCAACAUUUUCAGGAAAAGCCACAAGCCCAUCUGCAUCCUGCCUAGGAAGCAACGUACCCCCAGAAGCUGACCCAGCGCUCUCAGCUUCCUGGGUUUCAACUGAUAGUUAAACAAGAAAGAAAUAAUAACCCUGCUCAGCUCUGCCAGAAAACCCGCAUAUAAAACAUAAAAAUUUGCCACUUGGGGCCAAUACAGCCUGUCAUAUUAACUCCCAUAAUGGAAAGUAAAUACAAUUUUAUUCUCUUCUCUUAA